Molecule: long non-coding RNA, 5743 nt
Filed under: Nicotiana benthamiana
Lineage: Eukaryota; Viridiplantae; Streptophyta; Magnoliopsida; Solanales; Solanaceae
Description: long non-coding RNA (NBEN_LNC007997)
Source: RNAcentral
AAGAUCAGUGUUCAUCUCAGGUGGCUUCAGCAGAAGCAUUAGGACAUGAGUUGACGAAUGAGCUAAAGGAAACUUCUUUGCAGCUAAAGGAACCUUCACAAACUAGAAUGUACAGCGAACCAUCGGACAAGCAGGGUAAGAAAUUUGAACUGCUAGAGUUUUCUCAAUCUGAGAACAAGCCAUCUUUUGUUGCUGUCGAAAAACCACCUUGUGAUGGUUACAACUGGAGAAAUGUUCGUCUCAGGUGGCUUCAGCAGAAGCAUUAGGACAUGAGUUGACGACUGAGCUAGAGGAAACUUCUUUGCAGCUAAAGGAACCUUCACAAACUAGAAUGGACAGCGAACCAUCGGACAAGCAGGGUAAGAAAUUUGAACUGCAAGAGUUUUCUCAAUCUGAGAACAAGCCAUCUUUUGUUGCUGUCGAAAAACCACCUUGUGAUGGUUACAACUGGAGAAAAUAUGGCGAGAAGAAAGUAAAGGCUAGUGAAUGCCCUCGGAGCUACUAUAAGUGCACAAAUCUCAAAUGUCCAGUGAAGAAGAAAGUUGAGCGAUCUGUUGAUGGUCACAUAACUGAGAUCACAUAUAAUGGCUGGCACAAUCAUGAACUUCCUCAACCAACCAAACAAAGGAAAGAUGGUUCCACUUUGGAUGGUUCAGACUGCUCCGAAGUUCGACCUGACACCCGUACACAUGAUUGGCCAGUUAUGAAUAAUAGCUCAGAUGGGUCUUCCCAUACACGUUCUGACCAGGUUUCAAACCAAAUGGUAUCUGAACUUCUUGUGAAAAGCGAAUGCGAUGAAAUCAAAAACAUUUUAGUAGCAGUAGAUGAUGGGCAUGAUGAACCAAAUGCAAAGAGAACGUGAGUCCUUCUUUCAUGAGUAAAGAAUGCCCCAUCCUUCUGUUAUAAAACAAGAAGAAAACCGUAGAGCAACAAAAGUAUGAUUUAAUUCAGUUACUGUGAUGCAGGAAGACAGCAGUUGAGACAGUAGCUUCAUCACAUGGCACAGUUGCUGAAUCCAAGAUAGUUCUGCAGACAAGAAGUGAAGUUGAAUUCUUAGAUGACGGGUACAAAUGGCGAAAGUAUGGGCAGAAGGUGGUAAAGGGGAAUCAGCACCCAAGGUACUUAUAGUCUACAUAUCGUCCGCUGCAAUAUUUUUCUCAAUCUUAUGUUAGCCGCUAUUCUGUAUAUGAAUCUUUUAUUGCAUAAUGUUUAUUAUACUAAAGAACUUGUGUGUGCUUGCUAAUUUCCCCGAAAUGAUGCUAGCUUAUCUCCUUGUCCUAUUGAAAUAUGCCAAAACCCAUAGUUUAGAAACUUUGUCUAUCAGGAUUUUACAAACUACUAUAGUUCUUAAAUGGAUACGGUGUGAAGUCUGAUAGAAGAGGAAACUUUACACGGUGCUUAACAAUCGAUCAGGCCAUGUUUUCUGGCUCUGAUUUAAAGUAAUUGUGUUGACGGGCAUAAGACUGAUGAUGAACACUCUGGAACUGCAGAUGCAAGUUGUAGGACUAACUUUUUUCAAAUAAUAUAAAAAGGAAGACUGUAAAAUAUAGUUAACUUUGAAGUUGCGGGUCAUCAAUUUUUUUUCUUUUUAAUUCCUAGACUUCAUUCUUGUUAAUAUGAUGUGGUAUUUUUAGUGACGUGGGGCAAAGGCAGUCAUAGCCUUCUAAAGGUUUUAUUUGCUACCUGAUCACGAAACUAGAUGACUUGGUUUCUGAGCUCAUGUUUAUGAUAGGGGAUAAUAAAUCACAAAAGACGGAGGGAAGGGGGCUUCCUUUCUAAGCUACUUUUUUGCUUUUGCUUGUGUCGCUUUUCUUUUCUUUUCUUUUACGUGUGUCGAAGUAGCUAUGACAAACUUUCAUCAUGAUAAAUCUGUUCAGCAUCAAGAGAGACAAAAUGUAAGUCUGGUUCAGCUGGAAAAUAAAUAGAAAAGUGGAUCUCGGUUGUAAGAACUAAGAAGCACAUCUGGCUUUCCCGCUCAUGAUCCUUCGUAGUUUUGAACAUGAAGAAUUUGAUGGUAAUAAUUCAAUAGUGGCUUUCGUGAUUAUUAGUUUGGCCUGUCAGAUUUUGUAUUUGAAACCUCUUGGACAAUGCAAGAUAUUGGAUUAUAUCCUAUACUAUAUGAUUGGGCAGUGGAAAAAUUACAAUGUAUUUUUAUGUGAAAGCAUGUGGCGGAGUUGAGAAAGUUUAUAUAUGCAUCUGAUAAACCAGACAAGUGUUAUAACAUCCUUCUGAGAUUAGUAUUAACUGCUACAAUCAGUUGCAAAAUCUAGUUUGAUCACUUGGUAGUUCUUUCUCUUCUCAGAAUAUGAUUUCACAUGUUACUGUUGAACAUUUUAAAAACAUGCGUCUUUCCUGGAACUGGCCAUUUAUUUGAUUACUGUUCUUUUCUUGUUGAACGAAUCAUCCCUUAUGCAUCCAAACUUGAUAUACAGGAGUUAUUAUCGUUGCACAUAUCCUGGAUGCAAUGUCCGCAAACAAGUAGAGAGGGCUUCAACUGAUCCAAAAUCUGUCAUAACAACCUAUGAAGGCAAGCAUAAUCAUGACAUUCCCACUCUUAGGAAUAGAAACAGCCAAAGAUAGUACUCAGCGUUGCAAAGUAAAAGAUGGUGACUUCGAGGCCUUUAUUCACCAAGAUAUUGAUUUUGGAAACAACAAUGAAAUACCCGUGUGUGAAAGGAUUGCAGCAUAAGUUGCAUUAGCACGAAAAGGUGAAAGGAUACUGAGAUUGCAGCAUAAAUACCAUUACCAAAGGUAAAAGAGUGAAAGGAUACAGGAUUGAGCUGCUAAUUUUUGUACCAAAUAGUCGGUCUUUUCUUUCGAAAACCUCAUGCUGGAACCAUGAAUCUGUUAGUAGUUCUCAAUAAAUAUUUGUAAAUUCUAUGCUACUUUCUGGAGUUGUCUGAUAUAUUGUUAAAGUAAAGAAGGUUGUAAUAGUUUGUCCUUGCCAUUAAGCUUCUUCUGGUCAGCUUCAAACUCUAGACCAGCAGAGUACAUAAGCUUAUUCAAGCAAAGUUGUCAACUUUUGAUAUCAUAUUUACUUUGUAAAUUAGAAGUUAUAUUUCGUUUGCAUCUCUUGAUCCCUGAGCCUAUUUUACUUUUCCGUUUAUUUCGAAACAUAUUCCAACUAAGGAUGAGAAUUCAUGGAACGAAGUGGAUGCAAUUUGUUAUCACUUUAUAGCUUGUUUGUUAGGUUUGAUGGCAGUUAUGAUAACUUUUUUACAAGAAAAAAAUUAUGGGCUCAGAAGGACGACCUAAAUUUCUAAUUUUUUUUACAUAUGUCUGGUUCUUGAUGGUUAGAAGAAAGAAGCAGAAAGAGACAGAGGAUGAAGAAGAAGGGGAAUUUUAGUUGUAGAAUUGCUUGUGCUUUAUUCUCGUAAUAAGCAUAAUGGGAGAAUUAACUAAAGGUAAAACGUGGAGGGUGUGGGGAGUGGGAGGAGAGAGGCAGGUUAACUAAAAUUAGAGAAUAUAUGCUUCUAAAAUUACGCCUAGAAUAAAUGUUUUUUUACAAGAAAAAAAUUAUGGGCUCGGAAGGACGACCUAAAUUUCUAAUUUUUUUCUAUUUUUGAUAACUUGGAAAUCUGUCUGGUUCUUGAUGGUUAGACCAAAGAAGCAGAAAGAAAAAAUGUAUUAGACCAGCUCAAUGAAUACAUAACUUCGGCCCCGCUGAGGCCUCGGAUCAUGUCUACCUCUUAGAAAAAUUUGCCUUGAUAGAGCACCUAUAAGAAAAAACCCAAAGAAGUUGAAAUUGGAGGGUUUAUCGUUUAGCCUAUAUAAUGGAGUAAUAUCCUUGAUAUAUACGACAUUGUUAUAUACUCCAGCUCAUUAACUAAAUUCAUACAUUGAUGUAAUGGUUCAUAUUAGUAUAUAGUAUAGACAAACAUUUGUUUCCCCCCCUUUUGCUCUUAAGUCUUAACCAUAUCCAGAAACCCUUACCUAGUUCCUAACGCACUCUUAUCUCCGUCACACUCAACUACGGAAAGCAGCCGGUGUCCACCGACCGGGGUCCGGCGAGAUCCGACCUCCGUCACCCCUCAGCACCGGCACUUUGUAGACCUAUCUGUAUAACUCUGUUAACUGUAAAGGUCUUCUUCACUCACCUCUUUCUAUUGACUUUUAUUGAUACGAUUUAUUUCAAGCAUACUUUGACUUUGAUUCUUUUUAUGAUUUCUGUUUUUUCACAAAUUAGUAGGACCUAGGAUUCAUAUUUAUGUGAGCUCAAUUAUAAAUACUACCACUAAUGAUGAUAAUUAAGUAUUUAUUUGUAUAAUUGUAUUAAACAACUAUGGAAGCAUCUUUCUGUGGACUGCCAUUGUCAAUUAUAUGUGAUUAAUUUAAUUAAUAAUUAUAUUCUGUUAGUACUAAACCCUAGAAUAUUGUCAUUUUCAUUUUAUGGGAUUAAUUUAAUAAUAAUCAUAUUCUCUUAGUACUAAAUCCUAUAGCAUUUUUACUACAAGUCAGAAUUCAAUGUUUAUUUACUUGUGAAGUUUACUCUGACUUUAUUUGUUGUUACUGUUAUGGUAGAAAGAGCAUUCUCAUCAAGGAAGCACAUAAAAAAUGAACUGCGAAAUAGAAUUAGUGUUGCAUUUUUUAAUGAUUGUUUAUUUUUAUACAUUGAGAUGGAAGUAAUUGCAAGUCCAAGCAAUCGUAAUUUUUUUUUACCAACUUAGAAAAUGAAAGUCUAUCGAGGUCAAGUAUGAAUAGAUGAUGUACUUUUGUUAUAUUUGUACUAAACUAAUGACAUUCAAUAUUUUGAAUUUUGUACCUUUCUCAUAAGUUAUCAUAAUCUUUAAGUUUUUAAAGAGUUGCACUCCAAACUAAUUAGCUUGUAAUUGGCAGAUGUAGAUCUAGGAUGUUAGCUUGAUAGGUUCUUAAGGUUGUUCACAUUCAACUCAUUUAAAAUUAUGACUUUAGAUAUAAUAUUUGUUGAAAUUUUGGUGGGGUUUCACAUAAAUAUCCAUUCUCCGUGUAGACGGCGAAGCACUGGAUGCACCCCUGGUAAUUGGCAUGUCUAAGUAAACACAUUGGUCCCCCGCCACUUUUAAAUCUUGGGUCGACCUCUUCAGACACUUCGACAUAGUCUUAGAGCAGGCAAAGAUCUUGAGUUCAAAUUUCACCGUCAACCAUAUAUCCAAAAAACAAAUGGGAGAAUUUUUUUUUAGAUUCCUAGCAAAAAUUUCUUCACCGUUCGGCACCUAAAUUUUGGGAUGUCCCAGUUUUGCGCUUUUCCAUUGUUAGAAGAGACUAUUCCUACAUAAAUAGUCUAUGAACUAUGAUGCACCCAAUGGUUCGUUAUAGAAAUAGUUAACUAAAAGUCAUCUAAUUACAUUGGCAUCAUGUUGUUGCUUAUGAUAUUUCAAGGCUUUGCAGUGUCCCUAUGGAAUGUGACACCAGCAGGCUCUAGCACAUGUUACAGCAAAGCUUGCAUUCUCUAGUUCUUACAUGCACAUGCAAGCCGAAGAUCAGUGUUCCUCUCAGGUGGCUUCAGCAGAAGCUUUAGGACAUGAGUUGUCGACUGAUCCGAAGGAAUCUUCUUUGCAGGUAAAGGAACCUCUCCAAACAAGGUUGGAUGACAAACCGUCAGAAAGCAAAGUCAGCAGUUUGAACUGCCGGAGGUUUCUCAAUCUGAGAUCAUGACAUCCUUUGGUGCUCUCGAUAAACCAGCUUGUGAUGGUUAUAACUGGAGAAAAUAUGGCCAGAAGAAGGAUAAGGCCAAUCAAUGCCCUCGGAGCUACUAUAAGUGCAC